RNAcentral lists this long non-coding RNA (2334 nucleotides) under Gossypium barbadense (sea-island cotton). RNAcentral describes it as "long non-coding RNA (GBAR_LNC023399)". Lineage: Eukaryota; Viridiplantae; Streptophyta; Magnoliopsida; Malvales; Malvaceae. The record is from RNAcentral.
AGUACUAGUUAAAUCGGGCUUGAUUUUAGAUAAAUCUAAUUAUUAUCUUUAAGCAUGAUACGUUCUAAUACUUUGAUUUAAGCUGUUGAUGUAUGUAUUCUGACUAUGGAAUAUCAUGUUCAAAUAUUCUACAAAGAAGCUAAUUAGGAGAUUCUGCAAUUGUUGAUGGUAAUUGGAAUUUAAGAAUAUAGGCUUAAUGGUUUAAUUGGAAUUUAAGCAUGAUAUGUUCUAAUAUUUUAAAUUUAUAUUGAUGAAUACUUUCCACCUAUAUUAACUUAAGUGAGUAGAUAUAUCAGUAGUGUACAUUUUUUAUUCCACAAACAAUCUUAAAAAGUUGAGAUAUUAUUUUUUUAGAUGUAUUUGUUAAUAAUUUACUAUAAAAUUAUAAGACACCUAAUUUACUAUGACAAUAUAAAACAAUCUAAAAAAGUUGAACCGAUUUACUUAUCUUUGCACAGAUUAAGUUACUCGGAACCAAAUUUGCAGUUCAAAUUUGAAGCCAUGCUCAAAAGUUUUUCUCUAAGGCUCAUUGCUUUGAGUUCAUUACAAGAUUUCCUUGAUUAAGUAAAUGUAUUAUAUCUUUUAUUACCAAGAUUUUUAUUACCUUGCAUAUUUUAUUACCUUGCAUAUGUAUUAUUUAUUUUAGUUUUGAUUUUAGAUUUUUAUUUGUACUUAAGUGUUCUAACUUUUGGAUUUUAAUUGUGUUAUUAAUUUAUUAUUUUAAAUUCUAAAUUUAAAUUCAUUAAUUUUUAUAUUUAUAUUUAGUUUUACUAUAUUUAUAUUUAGUUUUAAAGUUAAAAUUUUCUUAGAAAAUUUAAUUUAAAUAAUAAUUUUAUUUAUCCUUAAAACAUAAUAUAAUAUUUAUCAUAGAAAUAAAUAUUAUUUGAAGAAAAAUUAAUUUUUUAAAAUAUAUGUUUUUAGCGGCGUUUGUGUGAAAAGCGCCGCCGUUAAAAGCUUAUUCUAUAGCGGCGUUUGUGGGAAAAGCGCCGUUAAUGGUAAUGGUCUUUAGCGGCGUUUGUGCAAAAAGCGCUGCUAAAGGUCAUGGUCUAUAGCAGCGUUUGUGAAAGAGCACCGCUAAAUGUCAUGGUCUAUAGCGGCGUUUGUCGGAAAAGCGUCGCUAAAGGUUAUGGUCUUUACGGCGUUUAUUUCUAAAAACGUCGCAAAAGUUAACGACGCGUUCAAUAGUGGCGCUUUUUGAAAGCGCCGCUAAAAACUUCUUUUAGUUUAGUGCCUGUGUGUUGCGUUUUCACCCACCCCUUUUCCAACCAACCCCCCAACUCGUGAAAAAUUUCCAGGAACUGGGAACCCCCGUCCUUAAAUUUCAGACAUCCCAAGAAUCUCAGGAUAUUUGCAAUUACUCGUGAUACAUAUUUUGUUUUUUUAAUUCUUGCCCAACCGGUUGCCUUUAUAAAGGGGGUUUUCCUCCCUCUACUCCAUAAACUCUCUCAACACACCCCUCAACCUUAAAAAAAAUCCUCUCCUCAAUUGUUCUUCUUUUUUAAUGUUGAAAUUUUUCAACAGAAAGAUUUAUUUGUGUUUGAGGGAGACAAUUUGUUAGCUUUAAUGCAUGUUUGAGUUUACGAUGAUGUGGUGGCGUUCAAAGACCCCUAGAUAUCAUCUGCUGUGUCAGGAUCAAGUACCAAAUGAAUUUAAUAUACCAAAACAUGAUUCAUGCCACGAUGUCGUAUGGUGGUCGUUUCGAUGGGAAAAGGCUUGUAAUGUCACUAUUUUAAGUUUCUCACAGCCUAGGACAAUCAUUAGGUUCCUUUUCUAUUCCUUAUAGUUAUUUUCAUUUAGUUUGUUUUCAAUGAAUAUGUUCAAUAAAGGAGUUGGUACUAUUUUCAAACUAAAAAUAAAACAUUCAUAUAUUAAUAUAUUUGUAUUAAACAAAUGUUUGAAAACGUUUUGCAACAUUAUGAUAUGCAUUAAUAUGAUGCACACGUCUUACAUUAAACCUUGAAAACAUUUGUAAGCUGUUGCAACGAUAAUUCCUACACCCAUUGAAUCAAGUCACCUUGGGGUGAUCAUGAUCAACUAGUAAGAACAUGAAUUUCCAUCCUAUUAGUACAUGAACCUAAUUCAUUAGGCUUUCACACGUACUAAUAAUUGUGUAACAUUUGACCAUCAUUCUAACUUAAGUAUAGCUCCUUGUGGAGUUACUUAACCAGAUUAUCUUGGGUGUAUAACCAUCAAAUCAAUAUCUAUCGCAUCAUGUACCACAAAUGACUUAUCUUAGGACAAUAUCGUCGAGUAGAAUGUUGUGACUAGUUUUCCUCUUUUAAGACAGAAUUUCUAGAUGUAUCGCAUGAUAAUACCUACCAUAGAGGACUGUCC